This 253-nucleotide ribosomal RNA is filed under the name uncultured bacterium. Its description in RNAcentral is "partial 16S ribosomal RNA". It matches the Rfam family "Bacterial small subunit ribosomal RNA", at positions 524 to 776 of the family's 1533-position model. The record is from RNAcentral.
UACGUAGGUGGCGAGCGUUGUCCGGAAUUAUUGGGCGUAAAGGGCGCGUAGGCGGUCUUUUAAGUCAGAUGUGAAACCCCGAGGCUUAACCACGGGCAUGCAUUUGAAACUGGGAGACUAGAGUGCAGGAGAGGUAAGUGGAAUUCCUAGUGUAGCGGUGAAAUGCGUAGAUAUUAGGAGGAACACCAGUGGCGAAGGCGACUUACUGGACUGUAACUGACGCUGAGGCGCGAAAGCGUGGGGAGCAAACAGG